Molecule: ribosomal RNA, 404 nt
Filed under: beta proteobacterium SCGC AAA023-D17
Lineage: Bacteria; Pseudomonadati; Pseudomonadota; Betaproteobacteria
Description: bacterial SSU rRNA
Rfam family: Bacterial small subunit ribosomal RNA
Source: RNAcentral
GCAAGCCUGAUCCAGCCAUGCCGCGUGUGUGAAGAAGGCCUUCGGGUUGUAAAGCACUUUUAUUGGGAAAGAAAUCCCUUGGGCUAAUACCCUGAGGGUCUGACGGUACCNGAAGAAUAAGCACCGGCUAACUNCGUGCCAGCAGCCGCGGUAAUACGUAGGGNGCAAGCGUUAAUCGGAAUUACUGGGCGUAAAGCGCUGCGCAGGCGGUUUUGUAAGUCAGAUGUGAAAGCCCCGGGCUCAACCUGGGAAUUGCAUUUGAAACUGCAAGGCUAGAGUGUGUCAGAGGGAGGUGGAAUUCCGGGUGUAGCAGUGAAAUGCGUAGAGAUGCGGAGGAACACCGAUGGCGAAGGCAGCCUCCUGGGCUAACACUGACGCUCAUGCUACGAAAGCGUGGGGAGCAA